Molecule: RNA transcript, 341 nt
Organism: Rhincodon typus (whale shark)
Lineage: Eukaryota; Metazoa; Chordata; Chondrichthyes; Orectolobiformes; Rhincodontidae
Exons: 2
Source: RefSeq, a predicted model, not a curated record
GAGAAGCUUAUCAAGAGCAACAGGUUUCUGAAAGAAUCUCAAGUCGCAGGGCAGCUCAAGAGAAAUGAAAAGCAGAUUAGGGCAAUCCUUGAGGAAGUGAGAUUGGCAUCCAAAGCGAUUCUACUGAUAAGACAGGCUGCCCUGAAAGAUCUCCUGGAGACUGAAAGCAAGCAGUACCUGGAAGAGUUAGCAGCGAUGGGAAAGACAUCCUAUAAGGAACGGAUCUGAGCUGAGACAGCUCAGAGUAACACUGCCAAUUCAAAAGCACCUAAAAGGGUAUUAAUCCAGUGAAUAGUAUUAAGGUUCACAAAUAAAUGCUUUCGUUAAACUGUAAAUCCAAA